Molecule: long non-coding RNA, 282 nt
Organism: Miniopterus natalensis
Lineage: Eukaryota; Metazoa; Chordata; Mammalia; Chiroptera; Miniopteridae
Source: RefSeq, a predicted model, not a curated record
GCAGGACCUUGGCCAGCGUCCUCAAGGUCACCCCGAGGCUGAGAGCCUCAAUUCCAUGAGGGACAGGGACUUCAGAGAGCUCAUGAGCGACUGAAAUGGGGCCAUGCCCACUGCAACCUGUAGAGGCUCCGUGUGCUCAUCUAAAAGAGACUGUCGCCGUCUCCAAGAGGGUCAGCACCCUGAGGAGUUCUCAGGGUCCCUGAGGAGUCCAAGGCUGAGAGGUUCCCUGCGAAGGUCCCAGGAUGCUCCCAAGCCCCAAGGAAACUCCUGAGCACAUCUCAC